This 254-nucleotide ribosomal RNA is filed under the name uncultured bacterium. RNAcentral's name for it is "partial 16S ribosomal RNA". It matches the Rfam family "Bacterial small subunit ribosomal RNA", at positions 524 to 776 of the family's 1533-position model. The record is from RNAcentral.
CACGUAGGGUGCGAGCGUUGUCCGGAAUUAUUGGGCGUAAAGAGCUCGUAGGCGGUGUGUCGCGUCGGCCGUGAAAACCUGCAGCUUAACUGUGGGCUUGCGGUCGAUACGGGCAUCACUGGAGUUCGGCAGGGGAGACUGGAAUUCCUGGUGUAGCGGUGAAAUGCGCAGAUAUCAGGAGGAACACCGGUGGCGAAGGCGGGUCUCUGGGCCGAUACUGACACUGAGGCACGAAAGCCAAGGGAGCAAACAGG